Small nucleolar RNA from Hibiscus syriacus, 133 nucleotides. RefSeq annotates it as small nucleolar RNA snoR111. The transcript has a single exon. The record is from RefSeq and is a predicted model, not a curated record. NCBI's taxonomy places the organism in Eukaryota, Viridiplantae, Streptophyta, Magnoliopsida, Malvales, Malvaceae.
UAAAGAGUGGGGAGACGGUAUAUAAUAUUGUCUCUUCAUAGGGAAGAAUAAUGAGGUACGUCAAAUUCAAAGGCAGAGAUAUCGUUUCAGUCGUCAUUUCUCCAUUGACGGUCUGAUUGUUGCUCGUCCACAU